AACGAACUCUGGUAUUGAUUGGUGCUUGCAUCAUGAUUUACAUUUGAGUGAGUGGCGAACUGGUGAGUAACACGUGGGAAACCUGCCCAGAAGCGGGGGAUAACACCUGGAAACAGAUGCUAAUACCGCAUAACAACUUGGACCGCAUGGUCCGAGUUUGAAAGAUGGCUUCGGCUAUCACUUUUGGAUGGUCCCGCGGCGUAUUAGCUAGAUGGUGGGGUAAUGGCUCACCAUGGCAAUGAUACGUAGCCGACCUGAGAGGGUAAUCGGCCACAUUGGGACUGAGACACGGCCCAAACUCCUACGGGAGGCAGCAGUAGGGAAUCUUCCACAAUGGACGAAAGUCUGAUGGAGCAACGCCGCGUGAGUGAAGAAGGGUUUCGGCUCGUAAAACUCUGUUGUUAAAGAAGAACAUAUCUGAGAGUAACUGUUCAGGUAUUGACGGUAUUUAACCAGAAAGCCACGGCUAACUACGUGCCAGCAGCCGCGGUAAUACGUAGGUGGCAAGCGUUGUCCGGAUUUAUUGGGCGUAAAGCGAGCGCAGGCGGUUUUUUAAGUCUGAUGUGAAAGCCUUCGGCUCAACCGAAGAAGUGCAUCGGAAACUGGGAAACUUGAGUGCAGAAGAGGACAGUGGAACUCCAUGUGUAGCGGUGAAAUGCGUAGAUAUAUGGAAGAACACCAGUGGCGAAGGCGGCUGUCUGGUCUGUAACUGACGCUGAGGCUCGAAAGUAUGGGUAGCAAACAGGAUUAGAUACCCUGGUAGUCCAUACCGUAAACGAUGAAUGCUAAGUGUUGGAGGGUUUCCGCCCUUCAGUGCUGCAGCUAACGCAUUAAGCAUUCCGCCUGGGGAGUACGGCCGCAAGGCUGAAACUCAAAGGAAUUGACGGGGGCCCGCACAAGCGGUGGAGCAUGUGGUUUAAUUCGAAGCUACGCGAAGAACCUUACCAGGUCUUGACAUACUAUGCAAAUCUAAGAGAUUAGACGUUCCCUUCGGGGACAUGGAUACAGGUGGUGCAUGGUUGUCGUCAGCUCGUGUCGUGAGAUGUUGGGUUAAGUCCCGCAACGAGCGCAACCCUUAUUAUCAGUUGCCAGCAUUAAGUUGGGCACUCUGGUGAGACUGCCGGUGACAAACCGGAGGAAGGUGGGGAUGACGUCAAAUCAUCAUGCCCCUUAUGACCUGGGCUACACACGUGCUACAAUGGAUGGUACAACGAGUUGCGAACUCGCGAGAGUAAGCUAAUCUCUUAAAGCCAUUCUCAGUUCGGAUUGUAGGCUGCAACUCGCCUACAUGAAGUCGGAAUCGCUAGUAAUCGCGGAUCAGCAUGCCGCGGUGAAUACGUUCCCGGGCCUUGUACACACCGCCCGUCACACCAUGAGAGUUUGUAACACCCAAAGUGCGGUGGGGUACACCU
RNAcentral lists this ribosomal RNA (1412 nucleotides) under Lactiplantibacillus pentosus. RNAcentral describes it as "bacterial SSU rRNA". It matches the Rfam family "Bacterial small subunit ribosomal RNA", at positions 65 to 1443 of the family's 1533-position model. Lineage: Bacteria; Bacillati; Bacillota; Bacilli; Lactobacillales; Lactobacillaceae. The record is from RNAcentral.